GAUGAACGCUGGCGGCGUGCCUAAUACAUGCAAGUCGAGCGAACGGACGAGAAGCUUGCUUCUCUGAUGUUAGCGGCGGACGGGUGGGUAACACGUGGAUAACCUACCUAUAAGACUGGGAUAACUUCGGGAAACCGGAGCUAAUACCGGAUAAUAUUUUGAACCGCAUGGUUCAAAAGUGAAAGACGGUCUUGCUGUCACUUAUAGAUGGAUCCGCGCUGCAUUAGCUAGUUGGUAAGGUAACGGCUUACCAAGGCAACGAUGCAUAGCCGACCUGAGAGGGUAAUCGGCCACACUGGAACUGAGACACGGUCCAGACUCCUACGGGAGGCAGCAGUAGGGAAUCUUCCGCAAUGGGCGAAAGCCUGACGGAGCAACGCCGCGUGAGUGAUGAAGGUCUUCGGAUCGUAAAACUCUGUUAUUAGGGAAGAACAUAUGUGUAAGUAACUGUGCACAUCUUGACGGUACCUAAUCAGAAAGCCACGGCUAACUACGUG
Molecule: ribosomal RNA, 497 nt
Filed under: uncultured bacterium
Lineage: Bacteria
Description: partial 16S ribosomal RNA
Rfam family: Bacterial small subunit ribosomal RNA
Source: RNAcentral